RNAcentral lists this unclassified non-coding RNA (382 nucleotides) under uncultured bacterium. RNAcentral's name for it is "contains 16S-23S intergenic spacer region". The record is from RNAcentral.
UCCGGUUUGGCACCGGCAGUCCUCCCAGAGUCCUCGGCAUGACCCGGUAGCAACUGGGAGCGGGGGUUGCGCUCGUUGCGGGACUUAACCCAACAUCUCACGGCACGAGCUGACGACAGCCAUGCAGCAUCUGUGCUGGUUCUCGACUUUACGAGUCGUUCCCCUUUCGGGGUUCUACUUCCAGCAUGUCAAGCCUAGGUGAGGUUCUUCGCGUUGCAUCGAAUUAAACCACACGCUCCGCUGCUUGUGCGGGCCCCCGUCAAUUCCUUUGAGUUUCACCCUUGCGGGCGUACUCCCCAGGCGGAGAGCUUAAUGCGUUAGCUGCGCCACUGAAGGGUAAACCCUCCAACGGCUAGCUCUCAUAGUUUACGGCGUGGACUAC